Molecule: ribosomal RNA, 501 nt
Filed under: uncultured bacterium
Lineage: Bacteria
Description: partial 16S ribosomal RNA
Rfam family: Bacterial small subunit ribosomal RNA
Source: RNAcentral
AUUGAACGCUGGCGGCAUGCCUUACACAUGCAAGUCGAACGGCAGCACGGGUGCUUGCACCUGGUGGCGAGUGGCGAACGGGUGAGUAAUAUAUCGGAACGUACCUUAUUGUGGGGGAUAACGCAGCGAAAGCUGUGCUAAUACCGCAUAAUCCCUAAGGGGGAGAGCGGGGGACCGUAAGGCCUCGCGCAAUUAGAGCGGCCGAUACCUGAUUAGCUAGUUGGUGAGGUAGAGGCUCACCAAGGCAACGAUCAGUAGCUGGUCUGAGAGGACGAUCAGCCACACUGGGACUGAGACACGGCCCAGACUCCUACGGGAGGCAGCAGUGGGGAAUUUUGGACAAUGGGGGCAACCCUGAUCCAGCGAUGCCGCGUGAGUGAAGAAGGCCUUCGGGUUGUAAAGCUCUUUUGUCAGGGAAGAAACAGCAGCUCUAACACAGUAUGCGAAUGACGGUACCUGAAGAAUAAGCACCGGCUAACUACGUGCCAGCCGCCGCGGUAA